RNAcentral lists this ribosomal RNA (275 nucleotides) under uncultured Agrobacterium sp. RNAcentral's name for it is "partial 16S ribosomal RNA". It matches the Rfam family "Bacterial small subunit ribosomal RNA", at positions 20 to 325 of the family's 1533-position model. Lineage: Bacteria; Pseudomonadati; Pseudomonadota; Alphaproteobacteria; Hyphomicrobiales; Rhizobiaceae. The record is from RNAcentral.
UGGCUCAGAACGAACGCUGGCGGCAGGCUUAACACAUGCAAGUCGAACGCCCCGCAAGGGGAGUGGCAGACGGGUGAGUAACGCGUGGGAACAUACCCUUUUCUACGGAAUAGCUCUGGGAAACUGGAAUUAAUACCGUAUACGCCCUACGGGGGAAAGAUUUAUCGGGGAAGGAUUGGCCCGCGUUGGAUUAGCUAGUUGGUGGGGUAAAGGCCUACCAAGGCGACGAUCCAUAGCUGGUCUGAGAGGAUGAUCAGCCACAUUGGGACUGAGAC